This 2028-nucleotide long non-coding RNA is filed under the name Homo sapiens (human). RNAcentral describes it as "HSALNT0008683". Lineage: Eukaryota; Metazoa; Chordata; Mammalia; Primates; Hominidae. The record is from RNAcentral.
ACCACCACGUCCGGCUAAUUUUUGUAUUUUUAGUAGAGACGGGGUUUCGCCAUGUUGGCCAGGCUGGUCUCGAACUCCUGGCCUCAGGUGAUCCACCCGCCUCAGCCUCCCAAAGUGCUGGGAUUACAGGCGUGAGCCACUGCGCCUGGCCAGUAGUUUAGUUCUAUACUUGAAUUGAUGGAUUGCAUUCUAUCUUGUAAAAUUUGAAUAAAAAGUAAAUACAGUGUUUACCAGUGAAGUUAUUUACUCAUUACAUAUUGAUAUAAUUGAUAAUCACUACAUAUUUUAUCAUAUUGAAUUCAAGACACUGUGAUAACAGAUUUUUUUGAAGCAAAAUCCUGUUUUAAGUCUUUGGAUAUAGUACUUUUGCUGACCACUCUUGCAUUUGUCUCUCCAACAUUAUUCCCCACCUCAUUCCCAUUAUGAAACAGUUCACUGUUUGGAGAGCUGGGCCCCACCUCCGGCUCCGAGAUCAAUCCUGAUUGGGUGAAACUAAUCUGAGUAACCCCUCCUUCACAGGGGUUUGUCAGAUAACCCAGGCUUGAGCCAAUCACCGUUCUCUGGGACACAGAUUGGACUGAGUUAUCUUGUAACUGUCAUACUCCAGAUUUAUGUGGGAGCAGGAACUCCUUUGGACCUUAAGGAGGAAGCACGUGGCUGCUUUUACCUGCUGGCAGUUAUCUUGUGUUCUUGAAGGAAGCAGGCCUGAGGAGGACUCCUCAUACAGAGAGAAACACCGAGAGAUUCACUGAAAAACUGACAUGGGAUCCUGAGGGGCCACUCUUGAAGACUUAUCUCUGCACCUUUCUGGGCACUGUGCAUACAGCAAUGAUCAGCAUGAUUCCAGUGCUCAGAGAGCUCCAAGGAUUAGUUGAGACCAGACAAGAAUAUCAAGGAGGCAUGCAGAAGUUACAAUGGGAAAUCAAAAAGAAGACAAAGGAGGGACACCUAAUUCAGAACGAUGGGUUUGUUGGAUAGGAGAGAAAAGGAGACGAAUGGGCAGUCUCUACUGCUGUCUCAAGAGGAUGCUUUGAACUGUUGAUUGGGUAAUGUUUUAACAUAAACGGAACUCUCCACUCCACCGAAAAAGAAAGAAGAGGAAGAAACAGAUUUAUCUGAACAGACUGAGAAGAAAAUUGGAGGUGAAAAGUUGAGUGACUGGGGAGGAUUAAGAGAGGCCCAUCGAGUUGUUUGUUUGCGGAGAUGAGUUAGCAGUAGUAUAAACUUUAAGAAAGAAGAGAUCUGGCCGGGCGCAGUGGCUCAUGCCUGUAAUCCCAGCACUUUGGGAGGCUGAGGCUGGCGGAUCACUGAGGUCAGGGGUUCAAGACCAGCCUGGCCAACACGGUGAAACCCCGUCUCUACUAAAAAUACAACAAUUAGCUUGGUGUGGUGGCGCAGGCCUAUAAUCCCAGCUACUCUGGAGGCUGAGGCAGGAGAAUCGCUUGGACCUGGGAGGUGGAGGUCGCAGUGAGCCGAGAUUGCACCACUGCACUCUAGCCUGGACUACAGAGACUCUGUCAAAAAAACAAAAAAACAAAAAAAAGAGAGAGAGAUCUGAAGUAUUUGCUCUCAGAACAUAGGGGGACUUUGGAGAGUUAAAUGGGUGAAGAUCUUUAGGAUGUUUUGCUAAGCCCCCUCCUUACGUCCUCAGUGGCCAGCUUUAGUUACUUUGUUAAAGUUUUAUGGUUGGCAGAUUUACGUUUCUUCAGAGUUUGACACUAGGUUGAGGUUGGCCAUGAACUAAUACAAUUAUAUUUCAGUUACACGAUUCUUUGCCCUCCUUGAGUGUCCCCACCCUCAUAUAUGUUAACUCUGACAUCUGCCCGAAAUUCAUUCAUCUAAUAAAUAUUUGAGUGGCCUCCCCUCUUUCCGAUUGCUGGACAGCCCAUCAUUUUCCAAAGUCAGCACCUAAACUCUUCUAUGACUUUCCUGACAACUCAACACUAAAAUUCGUCCCUCCCUUUUUUGUGUGCAACCCACCUCCCCGCCUCCGCUUUUAAUUGUUUGGCCUUCAUUCCUCUUCUACAG